This 433-nucleotide ribosomal RNA is filed under the name uncultured Prevotellaceae bacterium. RNAcentral describes it as "bacterial SSU rRNA". It matches the Rfam family "Bacterial small subunit ribosomal RNA", at positions 341 to 792 of the family's 1533-position model. The record is from RNAcentral. Lineage: Bacteria; Pseudomonadati; Bacteroidota; Bacteroidia; Bacteroidales; Prevotellaceae.
ACGGGAGGCAGCAGUGGGGAAUAUUGCACAAUGGGGGAAACCCUGAUGCAGCGACGCCGCGUGAGUGAUGAAGUAUUUCGGUAUGUAAAGCUCUAUCAGCAGGGAAGAAAAUGACGGUACCUGACUAAGAAGCACCGGCUAAUUCCGUGCCAGCAGCCGCGGUAAUACGGAAGAUGCGAGCGUUAUCCGGAUUUAUUGGGUUUAAAGGGAGCGUAGGCGGUCCUUUAAGUCAGCGGUCAAAUGUCAGCGCCCAACGCUGGCCUGCCGUUGAUACUGGAGGACUUGAAUACACACAAGGAAGGUGGAAUUCGUCGUGUAGCGGUGAAAUGCUUAGAUAUGACGAAGAACUCCGAUUGCGAAGGCAGCCUUCUGGAGUGCGAUUGACGCUGAGGCUCGAAAGCGCGGGUAUCAAACAGGAUUAGAUACCCUGGUA